RNAcentral lists this long non-coding RNA (819 nucleotides) under Piliocolobus tephrosceles (Ugandan red Colobus). RNAcentral's name for it is "lncRNA (ENSPTEG00000029758.1)". The record is from RNAcentral. Lineage: Eukaryota; Metazoa; Chordata; Mammalia; Primates; Cercopithecidae.
GGGGAGGGACGGACGGCGGCGGAGGUGGGGCCGGCGGGCUGGCGGGCGUGCAGCUGCCGCCGGCGUCGCGGGGCUCCAGGCUGCGGGGCGGACGUAGCGCCGAGCGAUCCACCGCGGAGCCACGCGAGGCCGCCCGAGCCCCAGCCCCGGCUCCGGUCCCGGUCCCCGCUCGGAGCCCCGAGCGAGCGCCGCAGCCUCGCGCCGCGGUUCCCCGUACGCGCCGCCACCGCCGGGAAGGCAGCCGGCGUCGGGCAAGUUGCGAGCGCGCCCCUCCGACCAGGAAAGUUUCCCCCGGCCGCUGGCGGGAGUUGGCGCGGGGUCCAGCCGCCGCAGCUGGAAGAGUGUAUCCAGAAGCUACUGUCAGAAGGACACUGUAAGAGAACCUUGGCACCCCUGGACCCAAAGGAAAAGACACCAGUGGAAGAGGUGAGCAUCUCCUGGACAGCGUCAAGCUUCAGAUGAGCUGAGCUUCUAAUACUACCAUCAAAGCAACUGGAACCCCUUGAAUUUGAUUUCUGGAGACGCGGGCAUAAUCCUUUUGCAGACGUCUCAACGCUGGCUCUCCAGGUAACGGGGUUUAGGCUUGUUCAGCAAGGGGAUUUUCGCUACUUUUGUUGUUGCUGUUGUUGUUGCUAAGGGUGACCAUCAGCAGGGCACCUGUCAUUCUCUAUCAUUCAUUCUCUUUCAUGCAUUAGUGUCUGUCUCCCCCAUCACACCAAAGGUGCAUGGGCAGGAGUGUAAGGGGUGCAGAUAGUGUGAGUGGAUCUGAGGCAAGGUUGCUGGGGUUUCACUAGAUUAGCCAAAAAGAUAACCCUCGGA